This 458-nucleotide long non-coding RNA is filed under the name Ovis aries (sheep). RNAcentral describes it as "lncRNA (ENSOARG00000026319.1)". The record is from RNAcentral. Lineage: Eukaryota; Metazoa; Chordata; Mammalia; Artiodactyla; Bovidae.
AUGUCCAUUGAGUCGGUGAUGCCAUCCAACCAUCUCAUCCUCUGUCAUCCCCUUCUCCUGCCUUCAUUCUUUCCCAGUAUCAGGGUCUUUUCAAAUGAGUUGGCUCUUCAUAUCAGGUGGCCAAAGUAUUGGAGUUUCAGCUUCAACAUCAGUCCUUCCAAUGAACACCCAGGACUGCUGUCUUUGAGAAUGCACUGGUUGGACUCUAAAGAGUCUUCUCCAACACCACAGUUCAAAAGCAUUAAUUCUUUGGCACUCAGCUUUCUUUAUAGUCCAACUCUCACAUCCAUAUAUGACUACUGGAAAAACCAUAGCCUUGACUAGAUGUACCUUUGUUGACAAAGUAAAGUUUUUGCUUUUUAAUAUGCUGUCAAGUUUGGUCAUAACUUUCCUUCUAAGUAGUAAGCGUCUUUUAAUUUCAUGGCAGCAAUCACCAUCUGCAGUGAUUAAGCCCCAAA